This is a microRNA precursor of Ochotona princeps (American pika), 106 nucleotides long. NCBI's taxonomy places the organism in Eukaryota, Metazoa, Chordata, Mammalia, Lagomorpha, Ochotonidae. The record is from Ensembl.
UAAGAAAACUUUGGUUGCCUGGCUCUGAGAACUGAAUUCUAUAGGCCGUGAGCUCUAGCAGAUACCCUAGGGACUCAGUUCUGGUGCCUGGCUGGGCUGCAUCACC